UGAGUGGCGGACGGGUGAGUAACGCGUGGGCAACCUGGCCUGUACAGGGGGAUAACACUUAGAAAUAGGUGCUAAUACCGCAUAACGGGAGAAGCCGCAUGGCUUUUUCCUGAAAACUCCGGUGGUAUACGAUGGAUCCGCGUCUGAUUAGCUGGUUGGCGGGGUAACAGCCCACCAAGGCGACGAUCAGUAGCCGGCCUGAGAGGGUGAACGGCCACAUUGGGACUGAGACACGGCCCAAACUCCUACGGAAGGCAGCAG
This 261-nucleotide ribosomal RNA is filed under the name uncultured bacterium. RNAcentral's name for it is "partial 16S ribosomal RNA". It matches the Rfam family "Bacterial small subunit ribosomal RNA", at positions 92 to 354 of the family's 1533-position model. The record is from RNAcentral.